Molecule: long non-coding RNA, 365 nt
Filed under: Daucus carota (carrot)
Lineage: Eukaryota; Viridiplantae; Streptophyta; Magnoliopsida; Apiales; Apiaceae
Description: long non-coding RNA (DCAR_LNC007134)
Source: RNAcentral
AUUUCAUUUUUGAUGAUGUUUUUGAUUUUCCGAUGGUGAUUUUAUUUUGUAGUUGGUGGUUUUUCGGGUUUGGGGGGUUGUAAUGGUGGUUUGUAGAUGGUGGUGGUGUGGUGAUUUUAAUUUUUAGACGUUGUUUUGGUUUCCUGGAGCUUAUUUAUUGUUUUCUGGUGGUGAUUUUUUAUUUUAUGACGCUGAUUUUUCAUUUUUUGACGGUGAUUUUCAGAUUUGGGGGUGGUGGUGGUGGUUUGUAAUUGGUGGUGGUGUGGUGAUUUUAAUUUUCUGUUGUUGAUUUUUGGUUUUCUGGCGGUGAUUUUUAAUUUUCCGGUGGUGAUUUUUAGUUUUCCGAUGGUGAUUUUAUGUUUUCU